CCUACGGGAGGCAGCAGUGGGGAAUAUUGGGCAAUGGGCGCAAGCCUGACCCAGCAACGCCGCGUGAAGGAAGAAGGCUUUCGGGUUGUAAACUUCUUUUCUCAGGGACGAAGAAAGUGACGGUACCUGAGGAAUAAGCCAUGGCUAACUACGUGCCAGCAGCCGCGGUAAUACGUAGGUGGCAAGCGUUAUCCGGAUUUAUUGGGUGUAAAGGGCGUGUAGGCGGGAGCGCAAGUCAGAUGUGAAAACUCAGGGCUCAACCCUGAGCCUGCAUUUGAAACUGUGUUUCUUGAGUGCUGGGGAGGCAAUCGGAAUUCCGUGUGUAGCGGUGAAAUGCGUAGAUAUACGGAGGAACACCAGUGGCGAAGGCGGAUUGCUGGACAGUAACUGACGCUGAGGCGCGAAAGCGUGGGGAGCAAACAGGAUUAGAUACCCCUGUAGUC
Molecule: ribosomal RNA, 443 nt
Filed under: uncultured bacterium
Lineage: Bacteria
Description: partial 16S ribosomal RNA
Rfam family: Bacterial small subunit ribosomal RNA
Source: RNAcentral